This is a long non-coding RNA of Scatophagus argus, 1770 nucleotides long. RefSeq lists it as uncharacterized. The record is from RefSeq and is a predicted model, not a curated record. NCBI's taxonomy places the organism in Eukaryota, Metazoa, Chordata, Actinopteri, Scatophagidae. The transcript has 6 exons.
CUCCACUCUGAGGAAGGGACCAGUGUCAGCAUGCUGGAUUUUGUGUUACUGAUCUGAUACCAAUACUGAUCUAUUGUAACUUUUACUGCAUGCUGGACAGAAAAUUCGAGUUCUUUAAACCAUGUCUAUCAGUGGACAUGCUCACAAAAUGAGAUCAGAAGCUUAGAUACGGUAUGUGCUCACUUCCUGGGUUGGUUCCAAUUGCUGUAAGAGGCACUUUCCUCCCCUUCUCCAUCUUCCCGCUCUGGGAGGUUCGGAAUAUCUCUGACAGAUUUGAUUGACAUGAUUGUCAGACGUUAAUUACACCUCAAAGAACAAAAAAAAAUAUGAUAAAACUGAUACAUUUUGUUAGCUAACAUGACUAAAGGGAAUCCUGUGGAACUUUUGGCCUUUAGUAGAGCGAUGCAGCGUUUUUUUUCACAAGCGGGUCCUUGUUUUCUUUGUUUCAUGCUAUACUUCUGUUUGUCACCUGUAGGUGGUAACAUACAAACAAGUCCUAGCAGUGCUGCUGCAUAGAUAGGGAAUAAGAAUAAGAGUGCUAGCUAGCAAACGUGAAUGAUAAUGUUGCAUGAUUUAAAAAAAUGGCUUUGCAGUUCUUUCAGUGGAUGCAAAUACAAGUUUGUUAGACAUCACUGAUAUACAUAUGCAUAUUUGUUUUGAUGACAUACACUGAAUGUAAACAUACAUAAUUGGUUUGUUUAAAAUGAAUCUCAAAAGGCAACUUUGAAAUGUACUUGUCAGUCAGUUUAAUUGGAUGACAAGAGUUGCUGUGGUGGAGUGCGAAGACGUACUUUGGAGCUGGAACUGAGACCGGAGCUGUUUCAGAGAAGACAUCUUCUUUAGCCUGCUCUAAGCUGGCUUUGUACUCCUCCAGAUACUCAGCUGGAACAUACCUCUUAACCGAAUGCAAUGAAGCCCGACAGCAGAUGGAGGGAACAAGAGGAAGGAAACCGAGGCGGCAGCUUCUUGCCGAAACACCGCCGGUGUGGAAGUCUGGUCCGAUGAGUGAGUGUCUUCUGAGCAUGGCUCGAGCCUGAGCGUUGGUCAGGUUUGCUGUGGGCUCCCCGUUGAUGGCCAGGAUGAGAUCACCAACACCCAGACGUCCAUCGCGGCUGAUGGACCCACCGUGGAUGAUACUGCGGAUCAGCAUCCCCAAACCAUCUUUGACGGCACUCACUGUCAUCCCUUUUGAGAUGAGUGGAGGUAAUCCAGGUCUGCGCUGCAGCUGCUGCCAUGAAGAGCAAUCAUGGAUGCCUGGAAAGUGUCAUCUUCUAUCCCAGACUGCCACGUACCUCAAGCAGCUCAUCUCCACUGAACAGCUUGCCACAGCGACCUACAGGUCCCUCAGGUAGAACAGAACGAAUGUAAUGAUGCCCACUGUUGGCUUCCAGACUGAUGCCAAGGCCACUGUUCUCACUAAACUUCUCCACCUCAGCCACCUGUCAUGGAAACAAGAUAUCACCUCUAAGUUGUAUCUGUGCAGGUGUGCUUCAAGAAGAAUCCCAGCCUCCUACCAUGUUUGUCUUCUGUUAGCUGAUCCGUGGCUGGGCCGACAUCAGAUCCUUCGCUCUUUGUCUGGAGCAGCUUUUCAUCUGCGGUGAACGUAAACACACGAUGAGAGACAGAGUGAGGAGGACAGAGGCAGGCAGCCGCACACACACACGACAUUAUCGGUACCAAGCCACUGGAAAGAGUCAUCUAUUUCCACUGACAGCACACAUACAUGCAAAAACACCACAAAUGAACAACCAUGAUGAAUUUAUUUGGCAU